GGGUAUAUAGCUCAGUGGUAGAGCACAUGCUUGGCAUGCACAAAGUCCUGGAUUCAAUCCCCAGUAUCUCCA
Molecule: transfer RNA, 72 nt
Filed under: Camelus bactrianus (Bactrian camel)
Lineage: Eukaryota; Metazoa; Chordata; Mammalia; Artiodactyla; Camelidae
Also listed under: 2 other names
Rfam family: tRNA
About the family: Transfer RNA (tRNA) molecules are approximately 80 nucleotides in length. Their secondary structure includes four short double-helical elements and three loops (D, anti-codon, and T loops). Further hydrogen bonds mediate the characteristic L-shaped molecular structure. tRNAs have two regions of fundamental functional importance: the anti-codon, which is responsible for specific mRNA codon recognition, and the 3' end, to which the tRNAs corresponding amino acid is attached (by aminoacyl-tRNA synthetases). tRNAs cope with the degeneracy of the genetic code in two manners: having more than one tRNA (with a specific anti-codon) for a particular amino acid; and 'wobble' base-pairing, i.e. permitting non-standard base-pairing at the 3rd anti-codon position.
Source: Rfam by way of RNAcentral